CUCGGAUGGUGGGAAAAGAGGGUUCUAGAUCAGCUUAUUUUGAGCAUAAACAUUGGCUCCAUUUACCAUGCUCAUUUGUUCUAACUUGCACUUUGGUGUAAGGUGGAAAAGUGAUAAGGUACCAUGGCUACCCAUGUUUGGACUCUUGUGGGUGCCAAAAUCGAGGGGAGGAAGAGGAGAAGAUGGAAGUAGGAGUUGACUAGUAUACUACUUGUCCCUUUGCCAAAAUAGUAUAAUUGCUAGAGUGUAGUGAUGGAAUCUUCAAAGUGAAGAUAUUGCAUUCCAAAAUUGUUAUGCCUCAUGGUGAAAUUCUUAUAUGUAUAGUCCUUUUCCCAAUGUACUCAUAUACUACUUGUAAUUCCAUCAUUCUUGUAUAUCUUGUACUCUUCAACUUGCUUAUUAAAUCGAAGUAUAACCUCCACUUUUA
Salvia splendens (bonfire salvia) is the source of this 427-nucleotide long non-coding RNA. RefSeq lists it as uncharacterized. The record is from RefSeq and is a predicted model, not a curated record. NCBI's taxonomy places the organism in Eukaryota, Viridiplantae, Streptophyta, Magnoliopsida, Lamiales, Lamiaceae. The transcript is spliced from 2 exons.